GUAUUGCAUUUCUGCUUCCAUCAACAAACAUGCGUAAACGUGCUUCUAUAAAGGUUGGGGUGUUUUGUCACCACCCGCGGGGGCGCACCCCGCGCGGGCGGGCCACGGUUCACAGGGGGGUGGAGAGAGAAGUGGGCGCGCGCGCGCACGCGCUCUCUGCAGCGAGAGAGCGCAGCAGCAGCAGCAGCCGCGCGCCGGAUUUCGCUAAUGAUCCUUCCGCAGGUUCACCUACGGAAA
RNAcentral lists this unclassified non-coding RNA (237 nucleotides) under uncultured fungus. RNAcentral describes it as "sequence contains ITS1". Lineage: Eukaryota; Fungi. The record is from RNAcentral.